CAGACUUCUAUCAUAAUACAGGAAGACAGGAAGUGAGCUGGGUGGGAACCAGAGGGGUGGUGAACUUCCACCUCUCACUUCCUGUAAGGCCUAGUCUGAAAAGGAAAGCAUGGCAUGGUGGAGACUCUCUGUAUUCUCCUGGAUGGAUUCUCCUGGAUUAAAGAUGGGCCGCUGUCAAAGCACCUGACCAAGACUGACAACUGGUGAAUGGAAAACCGGAAUAAGCACUUGGAAG
Rana temporaria (common frog) is the source of this 235-nucleotide long non-coding RNA. RefSeq lists it as uncharacterized. NCBI's taxonomy places the organism in Eukaryota, Metazoa, Chordata, Amphibia, Anura, Ranidae. The record is from RefSeq and is a predicted model, not a curated record. The transcript is spliced from 2 exons.